Molecule: long non-coding RNA, 1127 nt
Organism: Astatotilapia calliptera (eastern happy)
Lineage: Eukaryota; Metazoa; Chordata; Actinopteri; Cichliformes; Cichlidae
Source: Ensembl
GAACAAUGGUUGUGUGAGUAGGUGAAGCGCCUGAGAAGUUUUGUCUUCUACACAAACGGUUGUUUUAAACCUCUACAGCAGAGGUUUGAGGGUGGCACUAGCAGUUUGAGGAGAGGAGACAGAGAGGAGCAGGAAAGAGAGGGAGAGCAGCAAAGAUUGAUGCAACACGGCACAAGUCAUCACUGCGACAAUGCAGAUUAAAGCAGAGGAAUGAAAAGAGGAAACAGCACGAGAAGAACCUGACAGGGCAAAAGAAGCGGAAACAAGAAAACAAGAUGCUUUGUCAGGAGCUGUAUUUGUAUGCUGCUCACAGUCCCUGUAAAUUAGAGAAGAGAGAAGUGUGAGGAGGAGAAAGGGAAAUGUGUAUAUGUAUCUGCGUUUCUGUGUUUUAGAGGUAGGAUGGGGGUAGGGAUACAAAGCUGGACAACACAGCUAAUUCAGAUAGCAACAAUUCAGAGCUGGUUUUCUCAUUUUAAUGUCCAUCAUUGAACACACACAACAAAUCUGUAUUGGCAGACUGAUUGUUGACAGUGAGCGCACACGUUUACAGGAUAUUCUUGAUUCCACUUGAAUUACUGCUGUCUCCUUCUACUGUCACUAUGUAAUCCCAGCAGUCUGUUGAAAGCCCUGUCAACUGAAACCUAAAGGGAGACAUGAAGCCACUCCUUCUCGCCAGAUGAACCUCUCUCAUGUCAGUGUGCCUUGGGACAGGAUACAAAGAGGAGUUCAAGAAAAUCUACAAAAGCUCUAUUUUCUUUCUUUCGGUAUUUAUAAUGCAGCUUGCUUGUUUCAGCUGAUCUUCACAUGUCAGAUAGCUUCUGUCACAUGUUGUUUGUAGAUGAGUUUCAUCUUGAGACUUCCUGUGCCUUUUGACUACUAUAGUAGAUUUAAUAAAAUGGUACAUGAAUUCAAUUCAAUUUUAUUUAUAUAGUGCCAAAUCACAACCAAAUUCGCCUCAAGGUGCUUCAUAGAGAAAAACCCAACAAUCAUAUGACCCACUAUGAGCAAGCACUUUGGCGACAGUGGGAAGGAAAAACUCCCUUUUAACAGGAAGAAACCUCCGGCUGAACUAGGCUCAGGGAGGGGCGGCCAUCUGCUGCGACUGGUUGGGGUGAGAGAAGGAAGAC